GACGAACGCUGGCGGCGUGCUUAACACAUGCGAGUCGAACGGAAAGGCCCUGCUUUUGUGGGGUGCUCGAGUGGCGAACGGGUGAGUAACACGUGAGUAACCUGCCCUUGACUUUGGGAUAACUUCAGGAAACUGGGGCUAAUACCGGAUAGGAGCUCCUGCUGCAUGGUGGGGGUUGGAAAGUUUCGGCGGUUGGGGAUGGACUCGCGGCUUAUCAGCUUGUUGGUGGGGUAGUGGCUUACCAAGGCUUUGACGGGUAGCCGGCCUGAGAGGGUGACCGGCGACAAUGGGACUGAGAUACGGACCAGACGCCUACGGGAGGCAGCAGUGGGGAAUAUUGCACAAUGGGCGGAAGCGUGAGGCAGCAACGCCGCGUGCGGGAUGACGGCCUUCGGGUUGUGAACCGCUUUCGCCUGUGACGAAGCGUGAGUGACGGUAAUGGGUAAAGAAGCACCGGCUAACUACGUG
Molecule: ribosomal RNA, 468 nt
Filed under: uncultured bacterium
Lineage: Bacteria
Description: partial 16S ribosomal RNA
Rfam family: Bacterial small subunit ribosomal RNA
Source: RNAcentral